GUGUAGAGACAGUGAGAGUGAGACAGUGUAAGACUCACAGUGAGAGUGAGACAGGGUGUAGAGACAGUGAGAGUGAGACAGUGUAAGACACAGUGAGAGUGAGACAGGGUGUAGAGACUGAGACUGAUAGGGUGAGACUCACAGUAAAGUGAGACAUGGCGAGACAGUGAGAGUGUGUGGAGACAAUGAGAGUGAGACAGGGUGAGACUCACGGUGAGGGUCAGACCCAGGCCUUGACAGAGCUCAACCUCUCCCCACCCCAGCAGCAGCAGUUGCCCCCCUGCCCCUCGCACCCGCGCCACCCCCCCCCGUGGUACUGUGCACGUGAGCAGGGCUGGAAGAGCAGGAAGAGGCGGAGCCGGCGAGCCAGGCCGCAGUAGAUCGCCAUGGCGACCACAAUGAGUGGCGACAUCACCACGAAGCCCAGGAUGAUGAGUGCAGAGGAACUGUUGUCGUCCAGCAGGUGGCGACAGUAGGAGGCCUUGGAGUGCAGGACCUUGUGGGGAGAGGAGGCAGCAGAGAGGAGCAGUGAGGCAGGGGGACAGUUUCUCAGCACUCAGCAGACACGUGACAGGAGCAGAGAGAGGGAAACGCUAAUGAAUGAGCUGUCAAGCAUAGGAGCAGCACUGAGCCAAGAUCACUGAGUGCUCUGGCACAGGGAGGAGAGGGACAUAACCUCCAUCUGCGUGCAGAGUGUGUGUGUUUCAGGCCUGUAGGUGCAGUGUGUGACUGUGUGUGUCUGUGUAUGUGUCUGUGUGUUUGUGUGUGACUGUGUGUGAGUGUGUGUGUGUGACUGUGUGUGUGCCAGACUGUGACUGUCUAUCUUUCCCAGACUCCCCUGCCCGCCCAGCUGUGCCACUCAAGCUGUCAAUCAGCUGUCAGAGCUGUCAGAGACGCUCCCAGGCAGAUGGAGCUCAGAAACUGUCUGCAGUAACACUCCCUCACGCCACCAGACUGGGCCAGCACUCGAACCCGGGCCCCACGAUCUGCCAGGGCACCGGGAUCGUUUGCCAUGGAGCCCUGCUGCUGGACCAGCACGCCGCCCAGAGACGCUUCCUCAUCCCAGCGCCGGCCGACUCCCCUCAGUGUGUGAAUUCAGGGGAGUGUGAGAGGAGAGGGACAGCAGUGUCUCCAGUCCAGUCAGGAGUGUGUCAGUGUGUGAAUUCAGGGGAGUGUGAGAGGAGAGGGACAGCAGUGUCUCUAGCAGUGUCUCCAGUCCAGUCAGG
Molecule: long non-coding RNA, 1226 nt
Filed under: Lepisosteus oculatus (spotted gar)
Lineage: Eukaryota; Metazoa; Chordata; Actinopteri; Semionotiformes; Lepisosteidae
Description: lncRNA (ENSLOCG00000021211.1)
Source: RNAcentral